Molecule: long non-coding RNA, 549 nt
Filed under: Fukomys damarensis (Damara mole-rat)
Lineage: Eukaryota; Metazoa; Chordata; Mammalia; Rodentia; Bathyergidae
Description: lncRNA (ENSFDAG00000030364.1)
Source: RNAcentral
GUCCUCGUAAUACCACUGCCCACUAUGUAGUGCCUUGCAAUCAAUCUCUGCUAAAACUACCUAAUGUGGCUUCUGUGCUCUGCAACCGAACCUCCAUCAAAACUGCUCAAAAGAUGUGUGCUGACUCUCUAUGACUUAGCUUUUGGUGCACCUUGAUAUGGGGCUGCCGGAUGCCUCCACUGAAGCUUUUGCCCAGCCCUCAUUCUUGCCACAUCCUUGCUACAGAAAAUGAUGGUUGCAUUUAAUGAGGAAAUGCUGUCAGCAGAAAGGAGAGGAAGCCUCACCCUGACCCCCCCAGGACCCCACAGCCUGAGAGACAAGAACGUUCUCAUUCAGUCCUUGAAAGGCGACUCUAUCUACUCAUGUGGACUCGAGUAGGAAGUGCAAAGAGGAUUAUUCUCAUUGCAUACUUUAUGCAGCUGAUGUCCUGCAGAAAGCUCUGGAAAGAGAAAACAAACUGUCUCCACACAAUAAAAACGACCGAUAAGUAACACUGACAGCUUGCUGAACCAAAUAUAUCCCACUCAUCUGGCCCUCACACCUGUCUCC